RNAcentral lists this ribosomal RNA (256 nucleotides) under uncultured bacterium. RNAcentral's name for it is "partial 16S ribosomal RNA". It matches the Rfam family "Bacterial small subunit ribosomal RNA", at positions 524 to 776 of the family's 1533-position model. The record is from RNAcentral.
AACGGGGGGAGCGAGCGUUAUUCAUCUUUACUGGGCGUAAAGGGUGUGUAGGUGGUUUAAUAAGUCCAAUAGUAGAAAAUCUAAGCAAAACUUAGAAACUAUUUUGGAUACUGUUAAUCUUAGAGGACUUUUAAGGUUUGUUGUAUUCUUGAUGUAAAGGUGAAAUUUAUAGAUAUCAGGAGGACGAGCGAAAGGCGUAGGCAACGUACUAGAUUGUUUCUGACACUGAAACACGAAAGCACAGGUAUCAAACGGG